RNAcentral lists this microRNA precursor (122 nucleotides) under Gossypium hirsutum (cotton). RNAcentral describes it as "MIR7504 microRNA precursor family". It matches the Rfam family "MIR7504 microRNA precursor family". Lineage: Eukaryota; Viridiplantae; Streptophyta; Magnoliopsida; Malvales; Malvaceae. The record is from Rfam by way of RNAcentral. RNAcentral also lists the same sequence under 1 other name.
AAUAGUUUUAUGCCACAUCAGUAUUCUUAUCCUGAAUUUUAGUAUUUUAAUUUGGAUUUGAUUUUUUUCAGGAUAAAAUCUUGAAAUUCAGGAUAAGAGUACUGAUGUGGCAUAAAACUAUU